CUUAAAUUGAAGAGUUUGAUCAUGGCUCAGAUUGAACGCUGGCGGCAGGCCUAACACAUGCAAGUCGAGCGGUAACAGGAAGAAAGCUUGCUUUCUUUGCUGACGAGCGGCGGACGGGUGAGUAAUGCCUGGGAAUAUGCCUUAACGUGGGGGAUAACUAUUGGAAACGAUAGCUAAUACCGCAUGAUGCCUACGGGCCAAAGAGGGGGACCUUCGGGCCUCUCGCGUUAAGAUUAGCCCAGGUGGGAUUAGCUAGUUGGUGAGGUAAUGGCUCACCAAGGCGACGAUCCCUAGCUGGUCUGAGAGGAUGAUCAGCCACACUGGAACUGAGACACGGUCCAGACUCCUACGGGAGGCAGCAGUGGGGAAUAUUGCACAAUGGGCGCAAGCCUGAUGCAGCCAUGCCGCGUGUAUGA
Molecule: ribosomal RNA, 416 nt
Filed under: Vibrio renipiscarius
Lineage: Bacteria; Pseudomonadati; Pseudomonadota; Gammaproteobacteria; Vibrionales; Vibrionaceae
Description: bacterial SSU rRNA
Rfam family: Bacterial small subunit ribosomal RNA
Source: RNAcentral